AUUGAACGCUGGCGGCGUGCCUAACACAUGCAAGUCGAGCGGUAGCAGGCGUAGCAAUACGUGCUGACGAGCGGCGAACGGGUGAGCAAUGCUUCGGAAUCUGCCCAAUGGUGGGGAAUAACCAGCCGAAAGGAUAGCUAAUACCGCAUACGUCCUGAGGGAGAAAGCGGGGGAUCGCAAGACCUCGCGCGAUUGGAGCGGCCGAUAUCGGAUUAGCUAGUUGGUGGGGUAAAGGCUCACCAAGGCGACGAUCCGUAGCGGGUCUGAGAGGACGACCCGCCACACUGGAACUGAGACACGGUCCAGACUCCUACGGGAGGCAGCAGUGGGGAAUUUUGGACAAUGGGGGCAACCCCGAUCCAGCCAUUCCGCGUGAGUGAAGAAGGCCUUCGGUUGUAAGACUCUUUCUAGCAGGAACGAAACGGUA
RNAcentral lists this ribosomal RNA (427 nucleotides) under uncultured bacterium. RNAcentral's name for it is "bacterial SSU rRNA". It matches the Rfam family "Bacterial small subunit ribosomal RNA", at positions 29 to 456 of the family's 1533-position model. The record is from RNAcentral.